RNAcentral lists this long non-coding RNA (1024 nucleotides) under Phasianus colchicus (ring-necked pheasant). Its description in RNAcentral is "lncRNA (ENSPCLG00000011001.1)". Lineage: Eukaryota; Metazoa; Chordata; Aves; Galliformes; Phasianidae. The record is from RNAcentral.
GGGAAACUUCCUCCCAUUGUCUUUUCCUUUCCAUCACUGUGUUGGUGCUGAAAAGCCCAGAAAGCAUUCUCCAAUUGCAGAUCACUUGAAUUCGGUUUGGGGUUUUUUUUGGGUUUUUUUUUUGGCUGCAAAUGUUUAUUAGGUGAUAGAUGGCACCUGUGUUCCUUGGGCAGUUGUGAUGCAGCAGAGGGGAGGCCUGUGUCUGCAUGAGAGCUCAUCUCAUCAAGUACUCAGUACAGAUAAGCCAGAAGUGUGAUGCUGUUGGUGUGACAUCACGGUGCGGUUGCGUAAGUCAGCUGUUGUUGUAUACUAAGGACUUUUCUCUGGAAUGCAAUUCGGGGUUAUUUGUGUGUGAAAGAUGAAUGCAAAACUCACACGCUGGUGAAGGAGACAGAUGAUGGAACUGAAGCUGGUUGAUGCCAAAGCAGGGCUGGAGGGACCAUGGGAGCAUCAUCUGCUCCGCAGCACAGCGCUGCCUCUCAGGGACCUUGGGAAGAGUGCUGGGAUAAUGUGUUCACCUUGGUGAGGAGAUACAAGAUGCUUGUGGGUGCACCUGGCUACGGAAACCUUGGUAUGGUCAGGUGAAGGAGGACUGUAGGAAGUUGGAUGACUCCAAGCACUUUUGGGUGUUGGCAUAGGGAUGUGGCCUGCAUGGAUGCAUCUAGGAACCGUUCUGUCCUCCUCCAAAGGUAAAGUUACAGUAUGUGCUCGUUUUACCCUAGCUUUGUGUGAGACUUUUUUUUAAAGCACAGCAGGAGAGAGUAAAGCAAUCCAGGAUGGGCAGAUGGUAGAGAGGAAAGAGUUGCCUACAGCUGCUGGUAGCAGCAAGUAACAAAGCAAUGGCAGCCAAAACACGAGCACAUCCAGCUAUGGGAUGGGGAAAGCAGAGGGCUGGUGUUUGGAUGAGGGGUGGGAACAAGGUCAAGUGCUCAGCAUUUGCUCAGUGUAUUUCAGUGUCUGGGAACUGAAAUACAUUUGUGUUGAUUUUUAUGAUCCCUCCACACUGCAUCUCACAGAAAAUCAG